CAAACGGCCCUUUUCAGGGCCACCAGUAAAGUCUACGAAUA
Non-coding RNA from Camponotus floridanus (Florida carpenter ant), 41 nucleotides. NCBI's taxonomy places the organism in Eukaryota, Metazoa, Arthropoda, Insecta, Hymenoptera, Formicidae. The record is from Rfam.